GGACAACGAUGUACGUGUAUGGUUCAGCAACAAGAGUACGCGCAACUGGCCUAUGCCUAGACUGGAAUACAGCGACACGGAAAAAAUGGAUGCCUUGGGUGGACCAUCGAAGGCUUGGGUCACUCUCUACUGACAUCAGCACCAGCCACGUGUUCUUGUUUCUGUGAUCGCUUUCCUUUGAACUCGGAAUCUCUGACUGUACGAACGCCGGCAUCUGCAUUCUCUCCAGCUCUGCUGUAAGCCGUCGCAGGAUGUUGAUGACGUUGUUCUUGUCCAGGUAUCACUGAGUUUGGCUGCUGGCAAUGCAGUUUGUGCACAAACAAUUGCUGGGGUGGACGCUUCUCUUUCCAUUUAAAUCUUCUGUGUAAACAGCCGCGGUGCACCGUUCGCAGCGGUAACACUUGGCUGUGUUCGGGUAUUACCGUACGUCCACGACAGCGCCUCCUCCAAGCACCGCCUUGAGGCGUCAGAAGCUUGCUUCAUCGCUCGCUACAUGCCCUUCACAUAUAGAGAAGGCGAACCUCAGUGCCUCCCUCCCUUUCUAUGUCCUGUUCCGUACGCGAAUAUCCUGGGCUUCUUUGCGACGAUACCCUCUGCAAGUACUUUAUCCACAGCGCGCGCAUGCGCAUACGGUCGCAUUCAGUAGGAGAUUUGUGCCUCGUAACCUCGCCCAUGAUGAAGCGAGCCCCGACAGGAGAAUCCAAGCUGGAGGACAAGUCGAGAAACUUUGUAUCGUCUACGCUGUGUCCGUGCACGGCGGUGACGCAGUCUCCACUGUAAGCGAUCACUGCAGUGACUCAGGUUCGAGUCCAAGAGCCCUGUAUCCAAACAGAAGAGACGGAAGCCUCUAGAAGCGUAUCCUAUCAGAGGUAUUAUGCUGCAUUCGAAUGCCGCUUCGUCGAUGGCUACGAAGGGGUGAGCAUCUCUCCUUCGAACGGAAUCGAUUAUUUGAAGUGACAACUUCAGCGCACUUUCCGCAUGCGCACAUGAACAAGUUGUCGAGCAGCGAGGUCGAGUUUUGAUCGUCGUCAAUCCAUUGGUGCAAAUUGCUGCACCUCGAGUUGCCUUGAACCAGGGAGAUCGAAAACGUGAAGAAUGCCUGAUUUCAGCAUGCAACCCGAGGGGAAAAGAGAAGCGUGCAUGCAUAUGGUUAUGAAUUUGAGGGUGUUUCGCGUUAGCUCACAAAGCCUCGUUUGCCAGCGUUUCGAAUCAUCUUGAUUCCUGCAAUGUCAUUGAAUUCUAGCUUUAGAGCGAGUGGAAGGGGCGACUCCGAAACACCGACGGACAACCCCGAAACUAUUUACGAAUCAUAAUCGUUUAUUUCUGGAAUGCGAAUGUCGAGGGUGUACAUAUGAAAAAAAAGACGGAGAAUAUCGCAAGACUGAGCACGCGCGAGCACUUCAGUGUUCCAGGUUAAUCUGAAACGGGUACAGAGCCCCGUACGAGCAGGCACGUUAUUCAUUUGUGUCGUAUUCGGAGCGUGCCUUCCUGAGCGCGAGUUUACCAAUAAACUGAUAACUACUCGUGGCAAUGCACAUAACGGAGCUGACACGUAUUUCUGGUGCAUCUGGGCACCGGUGAAAGACGAGCUCAGCCUGGAGCUGACUCUGGAAGAAAUCGGCGGUCUACAUCUGAAACUGCCACUGCCGUACUGCCUUUUUUAGGCCGUCAGAGAUGCCUUGUCAUCGGGCAAUCACGAGGCAAAGUAUGAUUGCGUUCGCUGGCCUUCAAGAUGGUCGAACCAGGGCACCAGCUGAGAGCAUACAUUGGGUUUAGCGCGAGUGAAUGCUUGAAGCGGGCCCCGAGGUUCUCUCCCUGAAAUGCGCGGCCCCACCUUUUUUCAAUCAAUAUCGACGGGUGUUGCGGUUUCCGCUUGGCUACGAUUCAGGUCGCGAAUGAGAUGUUCGAUUUGCGUUGCAGCGUUCUCUAUGACCUGGUAUGGAACAGCACGGCAGGGUUGAUACGAUUUCGAAAACCAAUGUCUUUGCUACUCAUUGCGGGCGUUGCAAUAAAGUCUUUCCACCAGGGGAUGUCCAUUCC
This is an RNA transcript of Cyanidioschyzon merolae strain 10D, 2040 nucleotides long. RefSeq lists it as hypothetical. Lineage: Eukaryota; Rhodophyta; Bangiophyceae; Cyanidiales; Cyanidiaceae. The record is from RefSeq and is a predicted model, not a curated record. The transcript has a single exon.